GGAAGGAUCAUUGAAGAAAAGAAUACUGUAUCGUGGGAGGAGGAAGAAGCAUUGAAGAAGGGAGGAGAAUAAUUGGAUGAUUGGUUUGUGAUUAUGAUGGCUCUUGAAAACAGGGAGGAAAGGAGAGGGUUAUAGAUAAUGAACUUUUUCUCUCUCCCUUGGAGCUUUCAUGAUAAGAUUAUUAUGAAUCGACUCGACUCUUUUUAUGUAACUUUCUUUCUUUCACAUACAACUAACCCCACUUGUGUGAACAAAUAGUUUCAUUUUAUAGAGGGUGAGGAAGAGGAGAGAGGUUAUAGUUGUUAGCUUCCUCUUUUUCCCAUUCUGUAUAAUGAUGAUCAACAAAACCCUUUAUUUUGUUUCCUUUUAUAGUGACAUGAAGGAGAGGAGAAAGGGAGGUUGCUGUUUGUGUCUUUCCUGGAUCGCUCUGGUGUGUUGCUAUAAAUAAUCUCAUCUAUAAUAUAAAUAGAAACAACUUUUAACAAUGGAUCUCUUGGCUCUCGGAUCGAUGAAGAACGCAGCGAACUGCGAUACGUGAUGUGAAUUGCAGAAUUUCAUUGUGAAUCAUUUAAUCUUCGAACGCAUAUGGCACCUUUGACUCAUUUUUCUCAUUUGAGGGAAAUGAAGCAAAAGGUAUAGCUGUUUGAGUAGGACUUAUAAAGAGAAAGAAAAUUUUUUUUUUUUUUCUAAUUACUAUCGAGAAAGGGAAAAGAGUUCUUUUCAGUAUCCUUUUUUGGAAUUGAAUGCUUCAUAGGUAGUAGAAACAGAGGAAAACAAAGGGAGAGGUUAGCAAAGUUGCUAUUUCUAGUUACGAGUGCGUACAUAGAAUGUAACCUAGUCGCCUCGACCUUUUUUGUUCUAUUCUAUCUUCCUUUUCACUCGAAAAAGAGAGUGGCAUUUUGAUAGUAGAAUUUGUGUGUUUUACUUUGUAUCCUCUUUCGGUUCUUUCAAUCGUGUGUGUAGCUAAAAAUAGAAUUUUUUUUGUUCACAUGGAAAGUUACUUGAAAAGGAAGGAAAGUGAGAAUAAAAAUGCACAAGGAACCUGUGGUAUAAAGGAGAAGAGGAGGAGAGAACAUUUCCUUCUUUAUCACUUUUACCCAUCGCUUCUUACACCUUUUCUCCUCUCAAAUCAGCUAAGAAGACCCGCUAAACUUAAGCAUAUCAGUAAGCGGAGGAAAAGAAACUAACAAGGAUUCCCAUAGUAACGGCGAGUGAAGUGGGAAUAGCUCAAAUUUUGAAUCGAAAAAUAGAGACUUGAAAUUUAUUUCUCGUUUCGGAAUUCUUUUUUCGAGUUGUAAUCUAGAGAAACGUGUUUGUAUAACAAAAAAAUUAAACCUAAAUUAAAUCUAAAUCCUUUGGAAUGAGGUAUCAUAGAGGGUGAGAAUCCCGUGAGAUUUGAUUUGACAACUUUUUUUUUAAUCAAACUUUUUUUUCAUCAAAUACGUUUCAAAGAGUCGAGUUGUUUGGGAAUGCAGCUCAAAAAGGGUGGUAAAUUUCAUCUAAAGCUAAAUAUAACCGAGAGACCGAUAGCGAACAAGUACCGUGAGGGAAAGAUGAAAAGAACUUUGAAAAGAGAGUUAAAAGUACGUGAAAUUGUUAAAAGGGAAGCGAUUAAAACUUAGUGCAGUAAUUUGAAAAGAGAAAUUUAAAAGGUUCUCUUUUUGAAUGAGUCAACACCAUUUAAUUUUGAUGAAAAAAAUGAUUAAGGAAGCUAAUAAGUUGGAAGAUUUUUUUUAAUCUCUCUAAUUUAAAGUUAUAGACUUUAACAUAAAUUCAUUAAAAGAGAAUGGGUGUUUUUUUUUCAGAUUUAAAAAGAAAAUAUGAAAAAAGAGCGUAAAAGGAUGAUGACGUUUGAAAGAAAAAAUUUUUUCAAAUUUGUCAAUUUUAUGGAAUCCUUUUUUUAUACACUUUUUAAAUCUAAUUUGUUGACAAAAUGGUUUUAACCGACCCGUCUUGAAACACGGACCAAGGAGUCUAACAUAUAUGCGAGUAUUUGAGUGAUAAAAACUUGAAUGCGUAAUGAAAGUGAGAAAAGAUAAACUUAUUAUUUAAUGGGAAUCCUUAUUUUAAAGAGAUAAUAAAUCUUAUUUUAAUGGAGGCACCAUUGACCGGUAGGGAUACUUUCGUAAGAAAGUUGAACGAAUCGAGUUAGAGCAUAUCUGUUGGGACCCGAAAGAUGGUGAACUAUGCCUGAAUAGGGUGAAGCCAGAGGAAACUCUGGUGGAGGCUCGUAGCGAUACUGACGUGCAAAUCGUUCGUCAAAUUUGGGUAUAGGGGCGAAAGACUCAUCGAACCAUCUAGUAGCUGGUUCCCUC
This 2315-nucleotide unclassified non-coding RNA is filed under the name uncultured fungus. RNAcentral's name for it is "sequence contains 18S rRNA gene, ITS1, 5.8S rRNA gene, ITS2, 28S rRNA gene". The stretch from base 1120 to 2315 matches the Rfam family "Eukaryotic large subunit ribosomal RNA", at positions 1 to 961 of the family's 3401-position model. Lineage: Eukaryota; Fungi. The record is from RNAcentral.